RNAcentral lists this non-coding RNA (347 nucleotides) under Streptomyces afghaniensis 772. Its description in RNAcentral is "Bacterial large subunit ribosomal RNA". It matches the Rfam family "Bacterial large subunit ribosomal RNA", at positions 1895 to 2241 of the family's 2925-position model. Lineage: Bacteria; Bacillati; Actinomycetota; Actinomycetes; Kitasatosporales; Streptomycetaceae. The record is from Rfam by way of RNAcentral.
UGGGGCGAAGCUGAGAACUUAAGCGCCAGUAAACGGACGGUGGUAACUAUAACCAUCCUAAGGUAGCGAAAUUCCUUGUCGGGUAAGUUCCGACCUGCACGAAUGGCGUAACGACUUCUCGACUGUCUCAACCAUAGGCCCGGUGAAAUUGCACUACGAGUAAAGAUGCUCGUUUCGCGCAGCAGGACGGAAAGACCCCGGGACCUUUACUACAGUUUGAUAUUGGUGUUCGGUUCGGCUUGUGUAGGAUAGCUGGGAGACUGUGAAGCGCUAACGCCAGUUAGUGUGGAGUCGUCGUUGAAAUACCAGUCUGGUCGUGCUGGAUGUCUAACCUGGGUCCGUGAUCC